RNAcentral lists this ribosomal RNA (370 nucleotides) under uncultured bacterium. RNAcentral's name for it is "bacterial SSU rRNA". It matches the Rfam family "Bacterial small subunit ribosomal RNA", at positions 775 to 1145 of the family's 1533-position model. The record is from RNAcentral.
GGAUUAGAAACCCGGGUAGUCCAUGCUGUAAACGAUGUCGAUUUGAAGGUUGUGGCCUAGUGCCGUGGCUUUCGGAGCUAACGCGUUAAAUCGACCGCCUGGGGAGUACGGCCGCAAGGUUAAAACUCAAAUGAAUUGACGGGGGCCCGCACAAGCGGUGGAGCAUGUGGCUUAAUUCGAUGCAACGCGAAGAACCUUACCUACUCUUGACAUCCAGAGGAUAUGGCAGAGAUGCCGUAGUGCCUUCGGGAACUCUGAGACAGGUGCUGCAUGGCUGUCGUCAGCUCGUGUUGUGAAAUGUUGGGUUAAGUCCCGCAACGAGCGCAACCCUUAUCCUUUGUUGCCAGCGAUUCGGUCGGGAACUCAAAGG